This 429-nucleotide ribosomal RNA is filed under the name bacterium. RNAcentral's name for it is "partial 16S ribosomal RNA". It matches the Rfam family "Bacterial small subunit ribosomal RNA", at positions 355 to 776 of the family's 1533-position model. RNAcentral also lists the same sequence under 3 other names. The record is from RNAcentral.
UAGGGAAUCUUCGGCAAUGGACGAAAGUCUGACCGAGCAACGCCGCGUGAGUGAAGAAGGUUUUCGGAUCGUAAAACUCUGUUGUUAGAGAAGAACAAGGACGUUAGUAACUGAACGUCCCCUGACGGUAUCUAACCAGAAAGCCACGGCUAACUACGUGCCAGCAGCCGCGGUAAUACGUAGGUGGCAAGCGUUGUCCGGAUUUAUUGGGCGUAAAGCGAGCGCAGGCGGUUUCUUAAGUCUGAUGUGAAAGCCCCCGGCUCAACCGGGGAGGGUCAUUGGAAGCUGGGAGACUUGAGUGCAGAAGAGGAGAGUGGAAUUCCAUGUGUAGCGGUGAAAUGCGUAGAUAUAUGGAGGAACACCAGUGGCGAAGGCGGCUCUCUGGUCUGUAACUGACGCUGAGGCUCGAAAGCGUGGGGAGCAAACAGG